GGCAGGGCGGCAGCUACACAUGCAAGUCGAGCGGAUGAGAGGAGCUUGCUCCUUGAUUUAGCGGCGGACGGGUGAGUAAUGCCUAGGAAUCUGCCUGGUAGUGGGGGAUAACGUUCCGAAAGGAACGCUAAUACCGCGUACGUCCUACGGGAGAAAGCAGGGGACCUUCGGGCCUUGCGCUAUCAGAUGAGCCUAGGUCGGAUUAGCUAGUUGGUGAGGUAAUGGCUCACCAAGGCGACGAUCCGUAACUGGUCUGAGAGGAUGAUCAGUCACACUGGAACUGAGACACGGUCCAGACUCCUACGGGAGGCAGCAGUGGGGAAUAUUGGACAAUGGGCGAAAGCCUGAUCCAGCCAUGCCGCGUGUGUGAAGAAGGUCUUCGGAUUGUAAAGCACUUUAAGUUGGGAGGAAGGGCAUUAACCUAAUACGUUAGUGUUUUGACGUUACCGACAGAAUAAGCACCGGCUAACUUCGUGCCAGCAGCCGCGGUAAUACGAAGGGUGCAAGCGUUAAUCGGAAUUACUGGGCGUAAAGCGCGCGUAGGUGGUUCAGUAAGUUGGAUGUGAAAUCCCCGGGCUCAACCUGGGAACUGCAUCCAAAACUGCUGAGCUAGAGUACGGUAGAGGGUGGUGGAAUUUCCUGUGUAGCGGUGAAAUGCGUAGAUAUAGGAAGGAACACCAGUGGCGAAGGCGACCACCUGGACUGAUACUGACACUGAGGUGCGAAAGCGUGGGGAGCAAACAGGAUUAGAUACCCUGGUAGUCCACGCCGUAAACGAUGUCAACUAGCCGUUGGAAUCCUUGAGAUUUUAGUGGCGCAGCUAACGCAUUAAGUUGACCGCCUGGGGAGUACGGCCGCAAGGUUAAAACUCAAAUGAAUUGACGGGGGCCCGCACAAGCGGUGGAGCAUGUGGUUUAAUUCGAAGCAACGCGAAGAACCUUACCUGGGCCUUGACAUGCUGAGAACUUUCCAGAGAUGGAUUGGUGCCUUCGGGAACUCAGACACAGUGCUGCAUGCUGUCGUCAGCUCGUGUCGUGAGAUGUGGGUAAGUCCCGUAACGAGCGCAACCCUGUCUAGUACAGCACUCAGGGUGGCACUCUAGGAGACUGCGGUGACAAACCGGAGAAGGUGGGGAUGACGUCAAGUCAUCAUGCCCUAACGCCAAGCUACACACGUGCUACAGUUGUCGUCAAGGUUGCCAAGCGCGAGGUGAACUAUCCGAAACCGAUCCGUAAUUCCGGAUC
RNAcentral lists this ribosomal RNA (1244 nucleotides) under Acinetobacter sp. RNAcentral describes it as "bacterial SSU rRNA". It matches the Rfam family "Bacterial small subunit ribosomal RNA", at positions 38 to 1299 of the family's 1533-position model. Lineage: Bacteria; Pseudomonadati; Pseudomonadota; Gammaproteobacteria; Moraxellales; Moraxellaceae. The record is from RNAcentral.